GAAAAAUUAGUUUAUAAAAAAUAUUAUAUUUGCGUUAUGAAGAAUUAAAAAUAAAUUUUUUA
Molecule: transfer RNA, 62 nt
Filed under: Semnoderes armiger
Lineage: Eukaryota; Metazoa; Kinorhyncha; Cyclorhagida; Kentrorhagata; Semnoderidae
Description: tRNA-Ala
Source: RNAcentral